ACCAGAAAGUCUUUAGGAAGGAUUCUUCUCAAAGGAGACAACAUUACCCUGAUGAUGAACACAGGGAAGUGAUGCUCAUCAGCAACUGUUGAGGCUGUAUUAUGUUUCUAUUUCGGAGGCCUGGAAGUUUGAGCUGUGUAGUGUGUCCUGAUAUAUUGAACACUAAAACAUGCUUUUUUUGGACUGACGAUUUUAGGUGAUAAAUGUAGGUAGGAUAUGAUUCAUGAAGUCCGAAUGUUCAAGCUAUGAGUUUUCUUUAUAUUCAACUUGGCAAUUAAUAUUUUGAUGCUAUUCGGGAUCGUCUUUUAUGUGAUGUACAAUGUUGUAAGCUCUUUGUAUGCGUUUGCUACGCUGAUAUUUCCUUCUUGAAGCCUGAAGAAAUAUGCUGCUCUGAGUAGGUGCUGUAAUUUUAUGUUUCAUGCCUAUAUAUGUAGCAGACUUGUCUUUCAAAAAGCUUACAACAUUGUACAUCACAUAAAAG
This 481-nucleotide unclassified non-coding RNA is filed under the name Hevea brasiliensis (rubber tree). The record is from RNAcentral. Lineage: Eukaryota; Viridiplantae; Streptophyta; Magnoliopsida; Malpighiales; Euphorbiaceae.